UACGUAGGGUGCAAGCGUUAAUCGGAAUUACUGGGCGUAAAGCGUGCGCAGGCGGUUAUGCAAGACAGAGGUGAAAUCCCCGGGCUCAACCUGGGAACUGCCUUUGUGACUGCAUAGCUAGAGUACGGUAGAGGGGGAUGGAAUUCCGCGUGUAGCAGUGAAAUGCGUAGAUAUGCGGAGGAACACCGAUGGCGAAGGCAAUCCCCUGGACCCGUACUGACGCUCAUGCACGAAAGCGUGGGGAGCAAACAGG
RNAcentral lists this ribosomal RNA (253 nucleotides) under uncultured bacterium. RNAcentral's name for it is "partial 16S ribosomal RNA". It matches the Rfam family "Bacterial small subunit ribosomal RNA", at positions 524 to 776 of the family's 1533-position model. The record is from RNAcentral.